Molecule: ribosomal RNA, 422 nt
Filed under: uncultured Lachnospiraceae bacterium
Lineage: Bacteria; Bacillati; Bacillota; Clostridia; Lachnospirales; Lachnospiraceae
Description: bacterial SSU rRNA
Rfam family: Bacterial small subunit ribosomal RNA
Source: RNAcentral
UGGGGAAUAUUGCACAAUGGAGGAAACUCUGAUGCAGCGACGCCGCGUGAGUGAAGAAGUAUUUCGGUAUGUAAAGCUCUAUCAGCAGGGAAGACAGUGACGGUACCUGACUAAGAAGCUCCGGCUAAAUACGUGCCAGCAGCCGCGGUAAUACGUAUGGAGCAAGCGUUAUCCGGAUUUACUGGGUGUAAAGGGAGUGUAGGUGGUAUCACAAGUCAGAAGUGAAAGCCCGGGGCUCAACCCCGGGACUGCUUUGGAAACUGUCGUACUAGAGUGUCGGAGGGGUAAGUGGAAUUCCUAGUGUAGCGGUGAAAUGCGUAGAUAUUAGGAGGAACACCAGUGGCGAAGGCGGCUUACUGGACGAUAACUGACGCUGAGGCUCGAAAGCGUGGGGAGCAAACAGGAUUAGAUACCCUGGUAGU